Molecule: transfer RNA, 87 nt
Filed under: Cordylochernes scorpioides
Lineage: Eukaryota; Metazoa; Arthropoda; Arachnida; Pseudoscorpiones; Chernetidae
Description: tRNA-Sec
Rfam family: Selenocysteine transfer RNA
Source: RNAcentral
GCCCAGAUGAACUUCGGAGGUCUGGGGUGUAGGCUUCAAACCUGUAGCCUUUUAAUAGCGGAGUGGUUCGAUUCCACCUUAUGGGCG